GAAGUAGUCCAGAUGGUCGCCCGGUGAAAAUUGGGAGGAAAGUCCGAACUCCGCAGGGCAUGGCGCUGGGUAACACCCAGUGGGGGCAACCCCAAGGAAAGUGCCACAGAAAGCAGACCGCCUGCUACGCAGGUAAGGGUGAAAAGGUGGGGUAAGAGCCCACCAGUUCCGAUGGUGACACCGGAAGCUUGGUAAACCCCGUCAGGAGCAAGACCAAAUAGGUUCCAACCUCUUAAGUGAGGGAAGUGCUGCCCGUACUGUGGAACGGGUAAGGUCGCUAAAGGCCGCGGGUAACCGCGGCCAUAGAUGAAUGAUCAUCACCCCGAAAGGGGAACAGAAUUCGGCUUACGGGCUGCUUCAGCU
Molecule: RNase P RNA, 363 nt
Filed under: Deltaproteobacteria bacterium
Lineage: Bacteria; Pseudomonadati; Myxococcota; Myxococcia
Description: RNase P RNA component class A
Rfam family: Bacterial RNase P class A
About the family: Ribonuclease P (RNase P) is a ubiquitous endoribonuclease, found in archaea, bacteria and eukarya as well as chloroplasts and mitochondria. Its best characterised activity is the generation of mature 5'-ends of tRNAs by cleaving the 5'-leader elements of precursor-tRNAs.
Source: RNAcentral